Chenopodium quinoa (quinoa) is the source of this 1582-nucleotide long non-coding RNA. RefSeq lists it as uncharacterized. The transcript is spliced from 7 exons. The record is from RefSeq and is a predicted model, not a curated record. NCBI's taxonomy places the organism in Eukaryota, Viridiplantae, Streptophyta, Magnoliopsida, Caryophyllales, Amaranthaceae.
UGUUUUAAAGGCCACCGGUUCAAAUCGGUGGCAAUAUAAUAAAAAAAAAAAUCGCCCCUAUAUUUUCUUUCACUUUGCGCGUUCUCUCUCUCUUUCCUCCAUCUCGUGUUCUCUCUCCUCUCUCCUCUCUCCUCACUCCUCAACUAGAUCUCCCUCUUCUCUCUCUCUUUCCUCUCUCCACCGUGCCGCCGUCCAUUCCUCCCGCUUCCCUCUGUUCAUGUUUACGGUGCAUCAGUCGGACGGUCCUAGCAACGGUGGCAGUGGCGCAAGGAGCUGAUACAAACCCUCCUCUCGUCGUUUCCCCCUCGCGAAAUGAUUUUCCCUGAAGAUUUCUUGAAAUCAUAUAGAUCUGUGUUUUUGAGCUUUCAAAUUACUAAUGUGUAGUGGAGCGAACUUGGGUACGGGAUUUAACCCAGGUAUUUUGGCCAUGUGAAGGUUGGGUAUGGUGAUGAGUUUGAUGAUGAUGAGGUAAAGGAUGUCUCUUGAUAAUUUUUCUGCAUUUUCGUGAUAAUCUGACCCUAAUUACAGAAAAAAUUGAACUUGAUAUGGGGCUUAUCGAUUUUGUCUUUGAUAUGUAUACUCACGUAGGUUUGUUAUGUUGAGAUUUGAUUUAUAUUUGUGAUCAAUGUUGAAUUUUGGUUUUGUCUAUAAAUCACUUAAUUCUUAAGAAAUAGGUAUGUAGGAACUCAAUUUUGGUCGAACAAUUUAAUUUUGAAGUACUGCUUUUUGCUCGUGAGAUUUGUCAAUAUUUUGUGUGUAUAGUAAUUGUUUCUCGCAUAGGUUUGCUGUGAUGGCUGUGAUGUUUUGGAGCAUGCUGAGUGUGCUGAAAUCUGUGGCAAAAAUCUCAAGGAUUUGGAAGAUGCGGAAUAUUACUGCCCUGAUUGCAAGCCAAAGUUUGCAUUUGAGCCAUCAUACUCUGUAGCUCUACCUGAAGUCAACCCAAAACAACCUGUGCCAUCCGAUGAGGUAACUGUUGCGUGCAAUGGUAUGGAGGCAUCAUAUAUCCCAAGCCUUCACUUGGUUGUGUGUAAGUGUGGUAAAUGUGGGACAAGGAAGUAGUCAUUAAGUGAAUGGGAAAAGCACACUGGUUGUAGAGCCAAGAAAUGGAAGCAUAGCGUCAAAGUCAAAGGCUCAAUGAUCCCCUCGCAUCAGUGGGUAGUUGCAUCACAUAUCUAUGCUGAUAAUCGGGCCCCUAUUGAGAAAUUAAAAGAUGGUGAAGCUCCCCUUUUGACAACUUGCAAUCAAAAGCUGCUUAUAACUGUACGAUGAUGGUUGUAGCUCUUAUUGGUGCUCACCCUGCGAAGAAUUAGUCUGGCCAGAAUUAGAUCAGUUGCUUCGGGAUGAGGAUGAUGAAGUUGGAGGAAGUGGCAAAUAACCAAGCAAAGAAUUCACCAAAUACUACUAUAAGGGCUCACAGUGAAGAAGGUACUAGACAACCUGAUAACGGGCUUAAUGCUGGUUGAGAAUUUGCCUAAAAAUUCAUGUCGUUCAUGCCACUUUGUUUUUCGAGGAAUAUUGUAAUUUUACAGCUUUUUUAUGAAAAACAAUGUAAGUUAAUAUAUAUGUAAGUGUUUACAUAUCA